This 468-nucleotide ribosomal RNA is filed under the name uncultured bacterium. RNAcentral describes it as "partial 16S ribosomal RNA". It matches the Rfam family "Bacterial small subunit ribosomal RNA", at positions 28 to 507 of the family's 1533-position model. The record is from RNAcentral.
GACGAACGCUGGCGGCGUGCUUAACACAUGCAAGUCGAACGGAAAGGCCCUGCUUUUGUGGGGUGCUCGAGUGGCGAACGGGUGAGUAACACGUGAGUAACCUGCCCUUGACUUUGGGAUAACUUCAGGAAACUGGGGCUAAUACCGGAUAGGAGCUCCUGCUGCAUGGUGGGGGUUGGAAAGUUUCGGCGGUUGGGGAUGGACUCGCGGCUUAUCAGCUUGAUGGUGGGGUAGUGGCUUACCAAGGCUUUGACGGGUAGCCGGCCUGAGAGGGUGACCGGCCACAUUGGGACUGAGAUACGGCCCAGACUCCUACGGGAGGCAGCAGUGGAGAAUAUUGCACAGUGGGCGGAAGCCUGAUGCAGCAACGCCGCGUGCGGGAUGACGGCCUUCGGGUUGUAAACCGCUUUCGCCUGUGACGAAGCGUGAGUGACGGUAAUGGGUAAAGAAGCACCGGCUAACUACGUG